GGCGUAGUGCGAAGAGACGCGGUGCGCACGCGCGUGAGGGAUGUCGCGGGAUCUCUAUGAAGCACCAGAAUUAUCAGUGAAGAAUAUAUUAAAUGGCUCACGGGCUACUGUAAAGCAUAUUUCUAUCGCUUGAGAGUAAAACUGCUAGAACCAGUUCCUGUUUCUACAACAAGGUGUUCCUUUAGAGUCAAUGAGAACACACAAAACCUACAAAUUCAUGCAGGGGACAUCCUGAAGUUCUUGAAAAAGAAGAAACCUGAAGAUGCCUUCUGUGUUGUGGGAAUAACAAUGAUUGAUCUUUACCCAAGAGACUUGUGGAAUUUUGUCUUUGGACAGGCCUCUUUGACAGAUGGUAUUCCGUUUUUGGCAUUGUUGUUAGAAGCUUCUUCAACUUGAGAAUAUUUGAAGAUGUUAAAAGAGGGAAAAAAAUUCCAACCAAGAAUCAUAUUGAUAUUUAAAACUAUAGUAUUUUCAGUUGAGACAUUAUGCCAUAAUGGGAAGUGUGCUGUUGGUAGAUUGUGAUAAUCUAGGUUCUGGUUGGCCACUCACUACCUACAGGACCUUAAAGGCACUGGUGAGGUGGAUUGAUGAUGAAUCUUCUGGCACACCUGGAGCAACUCCAGAACACAGUCGUGAGGAUAAUGGGAAUUUACUGAAACCCGUGGAAGGAAGCCUUUAAGGAAUGGAAAGAGUGGAUAAUAAAAUGCCUGACUGUUCUCCAAAAAUAAGGACCUUCAAAUAGGAGUGAUUGAAAUAAAUGACUACUUGCAUGUUAUGCUUUCAUUUGGGUGGAAUACUUCAUCAGAAUAAACUAUUGAUCUUGUGCUGUGUCAAAGUAACAGACUAGAACCUUCUUUCAAGUACCUGAAUUGAAAUGAAACUCAUUUUGAAUAAUAAAAACUCUAGAAACUCUUUAUCUUC
Long non-coding RNA from Homo sapiens (human), 921 nucleotides. Ensembl annotates it as AMZ2 pseudogene 1. Its record names the gene AMZ2P1. Lineage: Eukaryota; Metazoa; Chordata; Mammalia; Primates; Hominidae. The record is from Ensembl.